UGAUGCCAUAAUAUGGUGGUCCCCAUCUUAAUGUUGGCAGGACUUAGGGCAAGUUCUCAAUCCUCUGAGCCUCAUGUUCUUAUCUGUGCAUGCCUGCCUUACAGGUUGUUUUAGCAAUUAACUGAGGUAAUACAAGUCAAAAUAUUUGGUACAGUCCUAAGCCUAAUAGGUAGCAGAUAUCCUCUGGGGUGGCUAAUAUCCUCUGGGGUAGCGGAUAUCCUCUGGAGUGGCUGUUCCAUAAUCCUUUCCCCCUUUCCUGUGUUCACACCCUUGUACAAUCCCCUCCCAUUAAGAGCAGGCUGGACCUGUGACUUUCUUCUAACCAAUAGAAUAUGACAAAGGAGAUGGGCUGUCACUUCUGUGAUUAUGUAAUGAUAAAUAAUUACAUAUUGAUAGCCAGUUUGCUCUAGGGAUUCUCCUUGCUGCUUGAUGAAGUAAGUGGUCAAGUUUGAGAAACCCAUGUGGCAAGGAAUGGCAAGGAACUGUGGGAAAUGUCUAGCAGCUGAGGCUGGCCUCAGACCAUCAGUCAUCCAGAAACAGAAGUUCUCAGUCCGCCAACCACAAGGAACUUAAUGCUGCAGAAGCCACACAAGUGGGGAAGUGAAUCCUUCCCCAGGCAAGCCAUCAGAUGAGAACUUGGCCCUGGCUGACCAAGACCUCAAGCAAUGCAUGCAGCUAAGCUGUUACCAGACUUCUGACCCUACAGAAACUGUAUAAAUUCUUCAGAGACUAUCAAGUGCCAACAAAGGGAUUACCCCCCUGCUCCUCUGAAGGAGUGCAAGAAAGAAGACACCAAACCCAUGGCAUUUUUUCCCUUUGGAAAGAGGGGAGAUAAUGAGAAGCCUACACUUGGUAUUCCUUGGAGCAGCUUUCCCAGGUGAUACUGAUGCUCCUGGUCCCGGGACCACAGACACGUUCUCCUUCUUGUAGCCGCUCAUUCACUCUGUAUAGAAGGCAUGGCUCAUCUGACUGCAAACUGACAUGCUGAAAGCUGUCCUAUGGAGAGGCUAAUGUGGCCAGGAAUGGAGGGUGGCUUCUGGCCAACACCCAGUGAGGAACUCAGAUCCUCAUUCAAACAGCCUGCAAGGAACUGAACCCUGCCAAUAACUCAGAUCGAGAUGGAGUCUCACUCUGUUGCCUGUACAGCAGUAUAGUGGCAUGAUCUCAGCUCACUACAGCCUCCACCUCCUGGGUUCAAGCGAUUAUGCUGCCUCAGCCUCAUAGGUAGCUGGAACUACAGGCAUAUGCCACCACACCUGGCUAAUUUUUGUAUUUUUAGUAGAUAUAGGGUUUCAUCAUGUUGGCCAGGCUGGGCUUAAACUCCUGACCUCAACUGAUCCUCCUGCUUUGGCUUCCCAAAGUGUUGGGAUUAUGGGCAUGAGCCACCAUACUGGCCCCUUCCUGUUCUUAUAAAGUCACUAGUUCCACUCCUGUGAUAACCCAUUAAUCUAUGGAUGGGUUAAUCCAUUCAUGAAGACAGGGUUCUCAUGAUCCAAUCACCUCUUUAAGUCCCCACCUUUUAACACUACCACACUGGGGAUUAAUUUUGCCAGACACGACAUUUGGAAGACCCAUGCAAACCAUAUCAUGGAGGAGGGGCAUCCUUGUUAGGUAGGGGUAGAAAGCUUAGUGCCACUGUUGUCUGCAGUUACAUGGAAAGCAAAAUAUGUGCCUAAUAAACCUAAUUAUCUAGCUAUGGAGAUGUCCAAGAAAAGUGUUAAAAUAAUUACUUCUUACUGCUUAUGUGAGAAGAGAGAGAGAAAAAAAGUGAAAGUGAGCCAGGACCUGAUAGUUUCAAAAAUUCUCAGUCUCCCAAGUCAGCAAAAGGUGCUAAAAUUAAGAAAUGAUUUUUGAGCAAGUACUGUCAAGAAAAGAUGGUCUGAGAUAAAGCUGAGGGUGUGACUGUGGAGCCUUUGGUUAAGACCUCGGAAAUAUCAAAAGAUCAUGGUAUUAUUCAGUCAUACAAAGGCCCUUUAAGGAGAUUAGAGUAGGCCUCAUAGAUCCUCCAGAUCAAACAAUAGGGACUCUAGGAAGCAGCAUAAGGGCUGUCCCUUGGCCAUCUUUUCAAGAGGCUCAGGUUGAAAAGUGUUUGGUUCUCAAAGACAUUUGUGGGUUUGGCUUUUGAGUAAUAGAAGGAAUCUCAGUGCAAUUUACAGAAGAGCCAAAAAGGUUUUGAGAAAACUUAUCAGAAGAAACACAGCUGGGACAGAAAGAAACAGAGAUAGUAUAAAAUAAAAUGAGGUCAUUGAACCCCUAAAAUUCUCAGCAGGAAACAGGCGAAGAAAACAAAUCAGCUUUAAACACAGGCUUCCUUUCAUGAAAAAGGAAGGAUUACUCAGAGGGAAGAACCAAGAGCUUAGAAGGUAGAGCGAAGAGUCAUGGAGAAUUAUCCCCAGGCUUUGAAACCUAACCAAGAAACUUGCAGUCUUUUCCUAGCUGGAUUUCAAAAUUGUUGUGGACCAGUGAUGUCUUGAUACCUCACAUUUUCCCCUCCCUGACUAGCAAUGUUAUAGCCAUUACUCUAGGCCUAACCUGCCAUUGUAUGGCCCAACCUACAUGUUGGGGCAGAUAAUUUACCUCUUUAGUUUUUAAAUCACCAAAUCCAUAGUAACAGUAUUCUGGAACUUGUACUUAAGGAAUUAUACCCAAGGGCCUCAUCCACACCUGCACCUAAUUUAGAUGAUGAGAUCCUGGACUUUCAGUUGGUGCUUUCAUGGGAAGAGAUGUUUAGAGACUUUGGGAGGGAAUGAUUUUAUUUCGUGUGUGGAAGGGACAGGAAUCAUUGGCCAGAGGGCAGAUUUUGAUAAGAAGCUUCAAAAAAUACUCUAAAUGUUCUUUCUCUUCUGGUAUUCAUGCCCUUGUGCAAUCCCCUCCCUUUGUGUGUGGGCUGGACCUAGUGAUUUGCUUCUAA
Callithrix jacchus (white-tufted-ear marmoset) is the source of this 2911-nucleotide non-coding RNA. The record is from RefSeq and is a predicted model, not a curated record. Lineage: Eukaryota; Metazoa; Chordata; Mammalia; Primates; Cebidae.